GUGAUCACUUCAGCAGCACAUAUAGUACUAAAACUGGAAUGAAACGGAGAUUAGCAUGGCCCCUGCACUAGGAUGAGAUGAAAAUUCGUGAAGUGUUCCAUAUUUUU
Small nuclear RNA from Mesoplodon densirostris (Blainville's beaked whale), 107 nucleotides. Lineage: Eukaryota; Metazoa; Chordata; Mammalia; Artiodactyla; Ziphiidae. The record is from RefSeq and is a predicted model, not a curated record.